ACCAAGUACAAGGAGGCGGGUAAGAAGGAGGUGAAGACAUGUCUGUACUCCCUCAUGCCUCACACUAUGGACACGCAGUACGCCAAAGAAGCUGCACAGCUGCUCAGUGAGGUAAGAAGAAACAAAGAGCAACACGACUGAUGCAAAGACACUUCAGAUUUCUUACCUGCAGCGUCAUCCAUCCUCCUCUCCCAGAUCAAAUACAAAGAAAGCAUGAAGAAGGAGAUGUCCAGCUCGCUGUACUGCACUCUGCCCGACACGGCAGAGUGCAGCUUCGCCCGAGAGAUGAGCGACAUGCAGAGCGAGAACAAGUACAAGGAGGACGGAAAGAGAAACCUCCCUCAGAGCUUCUACUCUCAGCUCCCAGAAACAGCUGACACUCAGUUCGCUAAAACUGUGUCUGAGCUGCAGAGCGAGGUGAGGGAGACACGUGCUGCAUGAAGGACGUCCUGCUGAAGUUGUUUAGAUACGUACACGUGUGACUGUAACGAUCUGCUUGUUCUUUGGUGUCCUGUUUUAUGUUGAAGUGUUCACUCCCCCUUGUUAUAUGUCUAGUUGUACUUCCUGUCUGUGUCUUUACCCUCCCCCUCUGAUUGUUAAUGCGUUCCUCCUGUGUCCAUUUAUUGAAAUAAAGCCGAAGCUAACAAAAUACAAAAAUACAACGUAACAAAAACACACACCGGGCAGGACACGGGCAGGACACGGGCAGGACACGGGCAGGACACGGGCAGGACACGGGCAGGACACGGGCAGGACACGGGCAGGACACGGGCAGGACACGGGCAGGACACGGGCAGGACACGGGCAGGACAUGAAGACAAUCCGACAACACAGUGGGGCAGACAGGGAUAAAUACACAGACACCAAACGAGGGAACAAGACACAGCUGGGGGAGAAAGGCAAAAACACAAGAACAGAGUAAAUGGACACAGGAGGAACACAUUAACAAUCAGAGGGGGAGGGUAAAGACAC
Molecule: long non-coding RNA, 972 nt
Organism: Cottoperca gobio
Lineage: Eukaryota; Metazoa; Chordata; Actinopteri; Perciformes; Bovichtidae
Source: Ensembl